This is a long non-coding RNA of Dreissena polymorpha, 2165 nucleotides long. RefSeq lists it as uncharacterized. The record is from RefSeq and is a predicted model, not a curated record. The transcript is spliced from 7 exons. NCBI's taxonomy places the organism in Eukaryota, Metazoa, Mollusca, Bivalvia, Myida, Dreissenidae.
UGAAUAAUUAAGACUGGUUAUUUACUAUUGGCACACGUCAUGCUGAUGUGUUUACUUGAAAAGUAAACCAAUCGACGUCCGCGGCUUGCAUUUCCGGAAAAUCGGUUUAUUUUGUAACCUUGUGUGUGUUUACGUUCCGUGUGUUGUUUCCAAACUUGUAAUCCAUACGUGCAUUAUGCUAAAAUACGUCGCUGGAGCGAAGCCGGGUAAGAAACUGCCAACAACGGAACGUAAGUCAAGCAAUGACUAUGAAAAAAGUCGUAAACGUGAUUUUCAAGGAAAAUGGUUUAACAUCUAUCCUUGGUUGAAAUAUGAAAAUAAUGUAAUGUAUUGUUCAGUUUGUCGCGUACAGUCCAUGAAAACAAAACAGCACGAGUCCCUAGCCUUUGUAAAAGGCACAGACAAUUUUAAGCUCGAGUCAGUUAAACAACAUGAUGAUAGCAUCGUGCAUAAAAGGUACAUUGAGAUAGGAGAGGCGAAAUCACAACCAUCCUGUAAGAGUAAGGCUGCUGAAGCUUUAAGAACAUUGCAUGAAAGUCAGCACAACAGUCUGGCUAUCAAAUUUCGCACUGCCCAUGCACUGGCCAAAACCCACAUGAGUUUUAGAACAUACAGUACCAUAUGUGUGUUAGAUGAGGCUAAGGGAUUGGAUGUUGGUGUGAACUAUCGUAAUGACAAAGCUGUUGCUUCUUUUACAAAAGCUAUUGCAACUGUUGUGCAAAGAACAACUGUAGAAAAAUUGAAGGAUACACAGUUCUGUAGUUUCACAAUUGAUGGGUCAACUGAUUUCACGGGAGAUGAUCUUGAAAACAUCUACAUUCGAACUGUUCACUCCGGACGUGUUGAGGACACGUUCUUGCACAUAGGUUGUGCUGAAUCUGGCUCCAGCAAACACAUACAUGAGCAUGUCAAGGAAGUGUUUGCAAAACUUCACAUUACAGAUGAAAUGUAGUCAAAACUCGUCGGUUUCACUGCAGAUGGAGCAGCAAAUAUGCAGGGUCACAAGACUGGACUUGCAACACUGUCGAAAGCAGAAUGGCCACACCUAGUAGCUACACACUGUCUAGCUCACAGACUCGAACUGGCAUUCAAAGAUGCCGUAAAACUGACAAACAUAAACAUGUAUGAAAAGAGUAUGACUCUACUUAUUGGACUGUAUUAUUUGUACAACAAGUCCCCUAAACAGAAGAAAGCGCUUAAGAGAGCAUUCGUCAUGAUGGACUUCAAGGCAUCUAUAAUGCCUACACGCAUGCAUCGGUGGGACCAGAUGGUUGCCACACUUGGACCGUUCACUGUCAGCCUUCUUUAAAGGCUACAGAGCGCUAGUGUACCAGCUACAGACGUCAUCCCAUGACAAUGCCAAGGCAGAGGGGUUUGCCAAGCUGGCUACAGAUGGCUUUUUGAUCCUUUACUUGCUACAGCUCAAGCACGUGGUUUCAAUGUUGAUGAGACUGUCAAAGUAUCUACAGAAGCAGGAGGUUUCCUUGGCUGAUGCUUACUCUAGGGUAGCUGUAACCAUGAAAGGCCUUGUGACCUUGAAGUCAGUAUGGAAAUGGUGAGGUCAAAAUUUUGUGUGGCCACUUCAGAGAUGUCCUCAAGUUUGACAGUGAGGAAAUUGUUCUGGAGGAGUGGAAACUUCUGCGAGACCAUGUGUAUGAAAAGUAACCAGACUCCCUAGAAGGCGUGAAAUGGCCAGACAUAUUCUGUCUGAUGCAUGGACGGGAUGUUGAUUUGGCCCUAAAGCUUGUGGAACAGACUUCUGUUAAAAAUGAGACAACAUUCAGUGCAAUGAAGCUUAUCAAGCUUAAGAGAAGGGGAAAGAUGAGCACCGAUACAUUAAAAGAUUUGGUCGCCAUCCACCUUGAGGCCCCCAGCAUUGCCCAAUUCAACCCAGAUGAUGCCAUAAUGGAGUGGAUGACAAGCAGCACUGGUAGACGUUUGGGGUAUUCUCGAAAGAGAAAGGUACCAGAGGAUGAGUCAGAGGUCACAGACAUGACAGCACCAGGUCCAUCAACCACAUCAACCAUUGAUGAAGGAGAAGCUACUUCUGAUAUGGAUUCUGACGAGGAUAUCCAGGAUUGCAGUAGUGAAGAUGAGAUGAAUGAAGCAGUCGUUAAUCACUUGUUAAAGAGUUAUAAUUAAUAAACCAUUGAAGGACAUACUUA